Molecule: ribosomal RNA, 301 nt
Filed under: uncultured bacterium
Lineage: Bacteria
Description: partial 16S ribosomal RNA
Rfam family: Bacterial small subunit ribosomal RNA
Source: RNAcentral
CAGCCGCCGCGGUAAUACGUAGGUGGCAAGCGUUGUCCGGAAUUAUUGGGCGUAAAGGGCUCGCAGGCGGUUUCUUAAGUCUAAUGUGAAAGCCCCCGGCUCAACCGGGGAGGGUCAUUGGAAACUGGGAAACUUGAGUGCAGAAGAGGAGAGUGGAAUUCCACGUGUAGCGGUGAAAUGCGUAGAGAUGUGGAGGAACACCAGUGGCGAAGGCGACUCUCUGGUCUGUAACUGACGCUGAGGAGCGAAAGCGUGGGGAGCGAACAGGAUUAGAUACCCGCGUAGUCCCUGUCUCUUAUAC